This 453-nucleotide ribosomal RNA is filed under the name uncultured Porphyromonadaceae bacterium. Its description in RNAcentral is "partial 16S ribosomal RNA". It matches the Rfam family "Bacterial small subunit ribosomal RNA", at positions 341 to 792 of the family's 1533-position model. Lineage: Bacteria; Pseudomonadati; Bacteroidota; Bacteroidia; Bacteroidales; Porphyromonadaceae. The record is from RNAcentral.
ACGGAAGGCAGCAGUGAGGAAUAUUGGUCAAUGGGCGGAAGCCUGAACCAGCCAAGUCGCGUGAAGGAUGAAGGUAUUAUGUAUUGUAAACUUCUUUAGACGCAGAGAAAUAAGGCGCUCGAGAGCGCUGAUGCUAGUAUGCGUAGAAUAAGGAUCGGCUGACUCCGUGCCAGCAGCCGCGGUAAUACGGAGGAUGCGAGCGUUAUCCGGAUUUAUUGGGUUUAAAGGGUGCGCAGGCGGUCUUUUAAGUCAGUGGUCAAAUCGUGGUGCUCAACGCCAUCCCGCCAUUGAUACUGGGAGACUUGAUUGCGGUUGAGGUAGGCGGAAUUCGCCGUGUAGCGGUGAAAUGCAUAGAUAUGACGAAGAACACCGAUUGCGUAGGCAGCUUACCAAGCCGUAAAUGACGCUCAUGCACGAAAGUGCGGGGAUCGAACAGGAUUAGAUACCCUGGUA